Molecule: transfer RNA, 93 nt
Filed under: Wolbachia pipientis
Lineage: Bacteria; Pseudomonadati; Pseudomonadota; Alphaproteobacteria; Rickettsiales; Anaplasmataceae
Description: tRNA-Ser
Rfam family: tRNA
About the family: Transfer RNA (tRNA) molecules are approximately 80 nucleotides in length.
Source: RNAcentral
GGAAGGGUGGCCGAGAGGCUGAAGGCGGCGGUUUGCUAAACCGUUAUACGAUUAAAAGUCGUAUCGAGGGUUCGAAUCCCUCUCCUUCCGCCA